CCCUGGCUGGCUCAGUCAGAAGAGCAUGUGAUUCUUGAUCUCAGGGUUGGGGGUUCAAGCCCCACUUCAGGCA
This 73-nucleotide transfer RNA is filed under the name Ailuropoda melanoleuca (giant panda). It matches the Rfam family "tRNA". From Rfam's summary of the family: Transfer RNA (tRNA) molecules are approximately 80 nucleotides in length. Their secondary structure includes four short double-helical elements and three loops (D, anti-codon, and T loops). Further hydrogen bonds mediate the characteristic L-shaped molecular structure. tRNAs have two regions of fundamental functional importance: the anti-codon, which is responsible for specific mRNA codon recognition, and the 3' end, to which the tRNAs corresponding amino acid is attached (by aminoacyl-tRNA synthetases). tRNAs cope with the degeneracy of the genetic code in two manners: having more than one tRNA (with a specific anti-codon) for a particular amino acid; and 'wobble' base-pairing, i.e. permitting non-standard base-pairing at the 3rd anti-codon position. Lineage: Eukaryota; Metazoa; Chordata; Mammalia; Carnivora; Ursidae. The record is from Rfam by way of RNAcentral.